UGGGUGAUGGAACGAGACUCCAUCUCAAAAAAAAAAAAAAAAAAAUGAGGUUCUCCUCUGGCUGCACCAUUUAUGAGCUGUGUGAACAUUAGUAAAUUAUUUCACUUUUCUGAGACCAAGUUUCUUCAUCACUAUCUACUUUGAGUGGUUUUUGUGAAGAUUAUACAUAAUAUAUGUAAGGCACCUAUAGAGUGCUGGCACAUGGUCAGUGCUCCACUAGUAACGGCUGGAUGAUAUUAUGGUUAUUCCUGUAACAUUUUGUGUUCCCAACCUGGACACCCACCCUGAUUCCUUAAUCUUUUUUUUUUUAAGAGGCGGGGUCUUGCUAUGUUGCCCAGGUUGGUCUUCAACUCCUGGCCUCAAGCCAUCCUCCUGCCUCAGCCUCCUGAGUAGCUGGGAUCACAGGUGCGAGCCACCACCUUGAUUCCUGAUUCCCUAAUUUUGAAUAAAAUGCAAUGGCUUGAAAUAGAAUUUGGGGAAAUUUGCCCCCAAAUUUAAUAUUGAAUUUCUAACAAACAACACAUUCCUCAAGUCUAUGAGGAUGCAUUUAUAGAUACAAAACCUUCUAUGACGCAAAUUAGAAAGGUAAUUUAGUAUUUGUAAUUUACUUGCUAUCAUGACCUGGUCUCAGACUAAGGAUAAUAUUUUAUGCUAGUUUUUAAUGCUAAAUGUAUUUUCCUAUUGUGAGUUCAAUUUGUUCCUCAAUUGCUCUUCUGUUUUUCUACUUUGUAUGUUACCAUACUAUGUCCAUUUUAAAACAUCACAUUCAGGGCAACAAAUAGGUGUUUUCCUGAAUUAAUUUGCCUAUAAAAACUAGGUACAGUGUGGUCUAGCACAAUGGGCAUUCAAAGAAUUCUUUUUUGGUUUCCAUGGACACUAUUGCUGACUUCAUUUCCCAGCCUCUUGCUAUAGUCUCUCACCUAAACUCUAAGAUAUGGAAAGAUAUUGGGAUCAGCAGGUUUGCCUAAAGGACCCACUGCAUUUAUGGAGAAACUGAAAAAUGAAAAAGUAGCUCCUAGAACUCGUGCCAGCGAGAACUUGGUAAAUGUUAGUUGAUUAAAUAUUAGUCAAGGAUGACAAGGUGGACCCCAGGGAGGGCAGAACCGUUUCCGAUGGGUCAGUGUGAUUCAGCUACGGGAAAGGCGAUCGCAGCGACGCGGGAAGCAGAGAUCGGCGACUGCUCAAGAGGCCUCAGGGGACAGGGUGACUCGCCACUGUGCCCUACCAUACAGUGCGCUCUGGGAGUCCCGGGUAAAGGGGGUCAUUCCCGCGAGGGAUGCGGAGAGCAGAGCGGCCGGAGGAGCGGCUAGGGAUCUCGCCGGGUCACCGGGGAGGGUAGACUACGUAGCCCCGAGAGCUUUGAGAACUUGGGCUGAAGGCGGCGCUCGCCGUGAGAACUGACGCGGAGGUGCAGCUUUGCAGCCCUACAGAUGUUCUACCGCGUGUGCCUGGCGCUACCGCACGGGCUGACUCAGCUAGGCAGAGGCGGAGGCGGGCGCGCGGGAGACAGAACUAUCCGCGGCGCCUGCCCGUGUACCCGGCUACCGCGCGCACGCGGGGAGACACCGCCCCGUUUGCCUUCUGGCUCCCGGUGAUUGGCGGUUAGACGAUGGCUGGGGAGCAGGGUCACGGACACUAUUGGCUGCAAACAACAGUCACUCAAAAAGUCAGGUAGGGGAGGGGCCUCCUCAGGGAGGGACAAGACUGUGAGGCUUUUUCAAGGCCGUCAGACGCCAUCUUUAGCUUGUUUUUGUUUACUUGCUUUUGUUCUCUGCUGCUCACAAACCUGUGUGUACACGAUUAUAAGCACAGUGGCCACAAAUCGGCGUCACACGUUGGGUGGUGGCCGACUUUUAGUUACUGCUGGCCUCGGUUACAUUUCUUUCACAUGUCACCUGCAAAUUAGCAGCUCCUCACAGUUCAAAGAAGUUUCCAAUACUAGGGGCCCCGAGGAUUCCCAGGCAAAAUCAACAGAGUUUAGUUUUGCUUUGCUUUGGAAGGCCAAGCCAACGAUAUAUAUGUGCGAGGAAUUCUCUCCUUUCUUAGGAAGAAAAAGCAAGAACAGUGGAUAUGACCCUACGUUCCUGGAUGUAGAAAUCAAAUAGCCUAGGAAAUCAGGGAUACGGGCUCUGCACUGUUCAGGGAGAGCUCUCCCUAUUUUUUGAGACGCUAAAAAGUAAGGUAAAAAGUAUAUGUGAUGACCUGUAGUGAUGUGGAAAAGAGCUAAAAAGGGUAAAACUCCAUUAAAAAUUCCCGUAACUGGCCGGGCGCGGUGGCUCACGCCUGUAAUCCCAGCACUUUGAGAGGCAGAGGCGGGCGGAUCACCUAAAGUCAGGAGUUGGAGACCAGCCUGACCAACAUGGUGAAACCCCGUCUCUACUAAAAAUACAAAAAUCAGCCCGGCAUGGUGGCACAUGCCUGUAAUCCCAGCUACUCGGGAGGCCGAGACAGGAGAAUCGCUUGAACCCAGGAGGCGAAGGUUGCAGUGAGCCAAGAUCGCACCAUUGCCACUGCAGCCUGGGCAACAAGAGCGAAACUCCGUUUCAAAAAAAAAAAAAAAAAAAAAAAAAACUCCCAUCACUGUUGUGAUCACAAAGAUCACUAAAAUGUGACUAGAUUUCAAAGAAAUGCAGGUCUGAAAUUGUGGAAUAAUCCACAGUCGAGCCAGUAUUUAUUAAGCACUGGUCUGACUUGAAUUGUUAGAGAAUAAAAAUACACUCAGCACAAGUAAGAAACCCAGAAAGCCCAAACAGGGCCACUUUUGUUAUAAAUUUGUACAAGUAACUUUAUUGCAGUCAGUAUUUAGGAGUCAAAUACUGCUUGAAAUAGAGUAGGAUGCUAGCUGUGUAAUAGAAAUGCAUUAUUAUACAGAAGUUUUGUUGUAAUGAAAUUUAAAUUCUACAGUAGAUUUUUUUUUUUGUCUCCUGGUUGUCACUGCAUUUGUGACAUUCCAGUUUCUCCCUCAGCACCUCAUAUACCUCCUAUGCUUUCACUCCAAUCUGCGAAUACAAAUUUGGAUACAGAUAUUUUCCAUACAACUUCUAAUGAGGAGAUAGUGAUUCUGUAACAGAAUGAAGUGAAAAUAGGGCUCCUAUAACAGGAGGUUCUGCUCUGCGAGCCUGUUUUUCUCUAAUUCAUAUACUUUUUUCUGUGACUCUUAGAAAUGAGAAGCUUUCCAUUCUAAAAAUGCAACAUGAUAACCAAAAGGCAUUUCUUAUCCCUUCUAUUAUUUGCCUUUGCAUCCUCUUGGCUCCCCAUCACCAUCACCAUGAACAGUUUUUGAGAAUUACACUUGACUGGAUUUUUUUCCUGAUACUUUGCCAGCUGUGGAGCUUUUCGAAUAUUCCAACCAAUAAACGACCAUUUUGUCAAAAA
Homo sapiens (human) is the source of this 3375-nucleotide long non-coding RNA. RefSeq lists it as uncharacterized. The transcript has 2 exons. Lineage: Eukaryota; Metazoa; Chordata; Mammalia; Primates; Hominidae. The record is from RefSeq and is a predicted model, not a curated record.